Molecule: long non-coding RNA, 1161 nt
Filed under: Monodelphis domestica (gray short-tailed opossum)
Lineage: Eukaryota; Metazoa; Chordata; Mammalia; Didelphimorphia; Didelphidae
Description: lncRNA (ENSMODG00000048896.1)
Source: RNAcentral
UUUAACAUUAUAAUGUUGCUCACAUUCAAUUAAAACAAUUCUCUAUCAUUGGUUUUUGAAGGAUUACCAGAGGCAGUUGAGCAGAAGCAGUCUGAUUCAGUCCAGCCUCGGUUGCCCUUUAGCAGAGUGAUUUGCUUGCCUCUGUCUUGGAGGAGGAUCCCAGAAGAUGAGUGAUAUCUUUGGCCUAAUCCAGAAACAGCCUUAUAGCUAAGUGACCUGGCCGAUUCAUUCCAGUCACAGGCAAGACUAGUAAAGAGCAAACUCAGAAGUCAACUGACCUGCUUAAGACUGAUUGGUCCUCAGGCAAUUCUGCCACAAGCCAGCUCCACUUAGUAAUAAGGUGAUUUGUCCCUAGCCAACUCUACAUCAUGGAGAAUACCUGAGGUCAUACCUGAGAAGGAAAGGACAUUGAAGCCCUGCAGUUCUGGAGAACAGAGACCUUCAGAAUCCUGUUCACCCUUUCUGGAAACCAGAAUUCCUUUACUCCGGGUGGAGGAUUGCUGCCCCAGAUUGGGUGAUGUUGUACUGCCCUCUCCUGGCCCCUUUGGAUUUAAUCCUACAGACUAUAAAUGCCCAUUGACUGGCUUGGAAAAUGUGGUUUGCCAUGGGAGCUCUACAGAUUGGCUUAGGGCUGUUGUGAGUUCACCCUUGACUUUAUCUUUGAACAGGGAAAUUGUUUCUAUAGCUGGUUUUUUAAAGGCAACAUCUAACACUUACUUUUGUAACUAUGUGUCAAAUAGAAGUAGAAGAAGAAUGAGGGAUGACAGAGGGGAGAACAUAGUCAAAGUAGUAUGAAAAAGAUGUUAAGAUAUUUGAAAGGGGGCAGCUAGGUGACUCAGAGGGUCAGGCCUAAAGACAAGAUGUCCUGGGUUCAAAUUUGUCCUCAGAUACUUCCUAAUUGUGUGACCCUUGGCAAUCCACAAAUCCCAUUGCCCAGCACUUACUGUUCUUCUGCCUAGGAACUAAUUCAAAGUGUUGGUCCUAAGACAAAAAGUAAGGGUCAGCUUUUUGUUUUUUGUGGUGGUGGUGGUUUGGAUUAUUUUAGUAUUUGAAGCCCCAGUCUAUAUCCUAUAGGAACAAAGAGUUUUUAGUAAUAACUAAAGCCAUGACCAAGAACUAAAGUUCCUUUCUCUGGGGACAGUAAAGUGGUACAGUGGAGAG